UACGGAGGGUGCAAACGUUGCUCGGAAUCAUUGGGCGUAAAGCGCACGUAGGCGGCCUGUUAAGUCGGGUGUGAAAUCCCUGGGCUCAACCCAGGAAGUGCACUCGAAACUGGCGGGCUUGAGUACUGAAGAGGGUCGCGGAAUUCCCGGUGUAGAGGUGAAAUUCGUAGAUAUCGGGAGGAACACCAGUGGCGAAGGCGGCGACCUGGGCAGAUACUGACGCUGAGGCGCGAAAGCGUGGGGAGCAAACAGG
This 253-nucleotide ribosomal RNA is filed under the name uncultured bacterium. RNAcentral's name for it is "partial 16S ribosomal RNA". It matches the Rfam family "Bacterial small subunit ribosomal RNA", at positions 524 to 776 of the family's 1533-position model. The record is from RNAcentral.